AUUGAACGCUGGCGGCAGGCCUAACACAUGCAAGUCGAGCGGAUGAAGGGAGCUUGCUCCUGGAUCCAGCGGCGGACGGGUGAGUAAUGCCUAGGAAUCUGCCUCGUUGUGGGUUAUAACGUCUGGAAACGGGCGCUAAUACCGCAUACGUCCUGAGGGAGAAAGUGGGGGAUCUUCGGACCUCACGCUAUCAGAUGAGCCUAGGUCGGAUUAGCUAGUUGGUUGGUUAAAGGCCUACCAAGGCGACGAUCCGUAACUGGUCUGAGAGGAUGAUCAGUCACACUGGAACUGAGACACGGUCCAGACUCCUACGGGAGGCAGCAGUGGGGAAUAUUGGACAAUGGGCGAAAGCCUGAUCCAGCCAUGCCGCGUGUGUGAAGAAGGUCUUCGGAUUGUAAAGCACUUUAAGUUGGGAGGAAGGGCAGUAAGUUAAUACCUUGCUGUUUUGACGUUACCAACAGAAUAAGCACCGGCUAACUUCGUG
RNAcentral lists this ribosomal RNA (484 nucleotides) under uncultured bacterium. RNAcentral's name for it is "partial 16S ribosomal RNA". It matches the Rfam family "Bacterial small subunit ribosomal RNA", at positions 30 to 507 of the family's 1533-position model. The record is from RNAcentral.